RNAcentral lists this transfer RNA (56 nucleotides) under Verrucomicrobiales bacterium. RNAcentral's name for it is "tRNA-Ser". It matches the Rfam family "tRNA", at positions 19 to 71 of the family's 71-position model. Rfam says of the family: Transfer RNA (tRNA) molecules are approximately 80 nucleotides in length. Their secondary structure includes four short double-helical elements and three loops (D, anti-codon, and T loops). Lineage: Bacteria; Pseudomonadati; Verrucomicrobiota; Verrucomicrobiia; Verrucomicrobiales. The record is from RNAcentral.
UAGGACACCGCCCUUUCACGGCGGUAACCCGGGUUCGAACCCCGGUAGGGUCGCCA